UAAAUAGUAUAAGUUACAGUUGAUUGAUAAACUAAUCUGAUCUGUAUUGUUCUUGGAAUUAACUUUAAGAACAUCUAACACCCUUUCCAUGCUGUAUAUAUCCUAUCCUCUUGUUUUGUAGAGGAAGGCUACAAAGGAAGUUCUGAGGCAUGUAGUUUAUGCUGAAUCUAUCUCUGUCUAGCUCCAAAAUGGAACUUCUUGGGUCUCCAAAAUAGCAGUUGUCAUAAAAAGCGGGCACGGUGUUUUGCACAAAUCAAGACUCAUUUCAAUAAUCAAAGGAAAGUUGGAAGGAAAUUGGAUGCAGAGACCACAUUAGGAAAAUGUCUGCAAGGACCGAAGCCUGCUUUAAAUGGCAGCCACCUGCUGGAGCAGUGCUAGUGAAGGAUCUGUCCCAGACUUCAUUACAAUUUCUCCCAUGCAAUUUGGUGAUCCUCAUAAGAACAAAGCCGCUUUGAGACCAGGUAAUUAAUCUGUCCAUAUAUGUUGAAAUUGCUGAGGCCUUUUGCAAAUGAUAAUUAAUAGACUGAUAGAUCCUCAAAAGAUAAAAAAGAGACUUUAUUAAAUGGUUGAAUAAACAUAAAGCUGGGUUAUUUAGCCCAGAUCUCCACUUCAUGCAGUUUGUGUUUUGCUAGGAAGCAAUCAGAAAAGAGAUGCACAAGUGGAGGGAUAAACAAGUAAGCAUAUAAGAAACUUAUAUCAGAUCACAAAGAAAAGGUAAGGAACCAAUACAAAGCUAUUUAUCCUCAUGGAGUGGAUGGUAAUUACAGUUGCCAGAAAUACAAGAAAGGGUUCGGGAUGAAAAGAAGAUCAACUCGCAAGCUUAGCCUUGCACUGUAAGGUAAGAGAGAAGCAUUGAAGCUCUGUUCUUUCCCAGCUGCAACUUCCAGUGUACACUUACUGGAGAUUGGUGCUGCUUUAAAG
Populus euphratica (Euphrates poplar) is the source of this 921-nucleotide long non-coding RNA. RefSeq lists it as uncharacterized. The record is from RefSeq and is a predicted model, not a curated record. NCBI's taxonomy places the organism in Eukaryota, Viridiplantae, Streptophyta, Magnoliopsida, Malpighiales, Salicaceae. The transcript has 2 exons.